GGCCAGUUAGCUCAGUCGGUUGAGCAUGGUGCUGAUAACACCAAGGUCGUGGGUUCGAUCCCCGCUUGGUCC
Molecule: transfer RNA, 72 nt
Filed under: Apaloderma vittatum (bar-tailed trogon)
Lineage: Eukaryota; Metazoa; Chordata; Aves; Trogoniformes; Trogonidae
Rfam family: tRNA
About the family: Transfer RNA (tRNA) molecules are approximately 80 nucleotides in length. Their secondary structure includes four short double-helical elements and three loops (D, anti-codon, and T loops).
Source: Rfam by way of RNAcentral